ACUUUGAUUAUGGCUCGGGACGAACGCUGGCGGCGCGCCUAACACAUGCAAGUCGAGCGGGAAGCUUUUUAAGGAUUCUUCGGAUGAAUUAAAAAGUGGAGAGCGGCGGAUGGGUGAGUAACGCGUGAGAAACCUGCCCUAUACAGGGGGAUAGCCAUUGGAAACGAUGAUUAAUACCCCAUAUGACCACAGUAUCGCAUGAUACAGCGGUGAAAACUCCGGUGGUAUAGGAUGGUCUCGCGUCUGAUUAGCUAGUUGGUGGGGUAACGGCCUACCAAGGCGACGAUCAGUAGCCGGCCUGAGAGGGUGACCGGCCACACUGGAACUGAGACACGGUCCAGACUCCUACGGGAGGCAGUAGUGGGGAAUAUUGCACAAUGGGCGAAAGCCUGAUGCAGCGACGCCGCGUGAACGAUGAAGGCUUUCGAGUCGUAAAGUUCUGUUCUCGGGGAAGAUAACGGCGGUACCCAAGGAGAAAGCACCGGCUAAAUACGUGCCAGCAGCCGCGGUA
This 511-nucleotide ribosomal RNA is filed under the name uncultured bacterium. RNAcentral's name for it is "bacterial SSU rRNA". It matches the Rfam family "Bacterial small subunit ribosomal RNA", at positions 10 to 522 of the family's 1533-position model. The record is from RNAcentral.